UUUUUAAUUUAAAAAAUAUUGAAUGACAAAUGUGAUUUUCUUGUGUGAUGAUGUGUCAUUCAUAUGGAGAGAGUUGACCAACUUUCAUAUAUAUGAUUUAUAUAGUGAACGUGGAUGAGGUAAAAUCAAAGAGUAUUGAUGUUAUCAUCUUAUUUGCGAGACAAGUAUAGUUGUUUCAAUGUGAGGUCGGUUAUAGUUACAAUAUCCUUCUCACAUUGUCACGUAAGUGUGAUCAUUUUGUUUCACUUACACUAGCUUUCUCACAUUGUUACAUGAGAAAUUAUCAUUUCAGGUUCAUAAGACAUUCAACAGUUGUGUAGUAAAUCAAACUUAAUGAUAAACUUCCUCAACAGUUUUACCAUAGACUCUUUAGUUUUACAUGUUCACAAGAUAUGAUUUUCUAAAUUUAUUUUGGUUACCCGUUAUAUGAUGAUAUAGUUGAAACACGCAAGAUUAUAAUAUUUUUCUUUCACUUGGAAUGAAUAUUAAUUCUUCACGUAAACUAUAGAGAUCACAUGUUCUGAGAUUAGUAUAAAUGUGAAACCUUUACUAUAUCAAGAUUGAUUU
This 567-nucleotide small RNA is filed under the name Arabidopsis thaliana (thale cress). RNAcentral describes it as "ATSL059160". Lineage: Eukaryota; Viridiplantae; Streptophyta; Magnoliopsida; Brassicales; Brassicaceae. The record is from RNAcentral.